This 21-nucleotide non-coding RNA is filed under the name Rattus norvegicus (Norway rat). The record is from RNAcentral. Lineage: Eukaryota; Metazoa; Chordata; Mammalia; Rodentia; Muridae.
UAAGAUGGACCCAGCAAUGUU